GGCGGUAGCUACCAGCCCCUUGUCUAGAAAGAGGCUCCUCGCUCGCCGCGAGGGGUGAGGGCGCACGGCGCCUGGGAUCCGCCCCUUGGGCCCCUCCCCGACGCAGCCGCCGCCCACCCGCCGGCCUUGGGCUCCCGCACAUCUGGAGGUUCUCAGCGCAUCUGGGCAGCCGGCGCCGAAGCAUGAACAGCUCGCAGGCGGGCGCCACAGCCCGGGGCGCCUGGCAGAGCUCCUGCUGCAACCAGUCGGGGGUGCCGCCGGAGCCCCCCGAGGGGCCGCGCGCCGUGCAGGCGGCGGUGCUGGGCGUGCUGUCGCUGCUCGUGCUCUGCGGGGUCCUCUUCCUGGGCGCCGGCCUCCUGCUCCGCGCCCAGGGUUUAACAGCGCUGUUGGCCCGAGAGCUGCGCGCGUCCCGGGAGGGCGAGCCCGGUGGCGCCAGCGUCGAUGACGACGACUCCUAGGCGCCCGGCUGCGUUCGGGGGUCGCGGCCUCCCGGCGGUCCGUGGACUCCAUGCCAGAUUUUGAGGGAGGGGCCCCCCAGCACCCGACGUCUGCAGUGGGGAACCCUGCCGCGAUGCUGGUGCGCUCGCACAGAGGAGCCCAGGAUUUGGUGUUAAUCCCGGACAGCUGUGCUGCACUGGACUUGCUGAGCUGUGGACUUCUCACCUCAGAUGCUGAUGCAAAAUAUGGCCUCUCUCCCCAAAAGAAUGAACCUUCACACCACACAUAUGGCAUAUGGUUUCUGGGACUGGCACCCCAACUCCGCCCCCCGCCUUGGUGUCCUCUCUCCCAUCCCUGCUCCCCCGCAGCCUUGCUGGAUACCUUCUUGGUGCUGUGAAUGGCCACCCAGGUGCCACAACAACUCCCAGCUCAGUGCCUGGGAAGCUGGCCCAUGGUGUGUGCUGUGGAGGACCUCAGUGUUCCUGGAGGAAGAGCCUGAGACGUUUGCUAAGAAACUCUGACCCUGGUCAAGGCUGUCAGACUGAAUGGGGAGGGAAAGAAUUCAGAAAAUUGGGAAAUGGGUGUUGUUGUCACGCCAUGUGUCAGGCUCGGCUUGGGAGUGGCAGGGAUGAUGACUGCAAGUUGGUGUGCCAUGGAGUGAGGCCAGGCAUUUGGAUCCCAACAAGCUCCAUUAGCCUGUGCUGUCCUUGAUGGAAAGGCUGGGUCCACACAUGUGUGGUUGGCUUACUCUUCCUCUAAACCCCGAGUCUCACCCUGAGAUGGAAAGGACUGUCAUUCCUUGGCUCCCUUUCCAGCAAGGACGGGGGCGGCUAUCUAUUACAGAUUCCCGAACCUCGCAUGGUGUGUCUCCCAGAGCACUUUCCUCCAGUCCUACCGGCCACACAAGGAACCUUUGAUCCGCAUACAGUACAGAUGACAGCCUGGGAAAAACCUGGACUGUGGUGAGACCUCAACCUGGGAUUCCUGCACACAGCUGCUUCCUCUGACCUGCUCCAUCCAACCUCCUGAAGUGCUCAUGAUGUGGGCCUGGGUGGUCAGCCCCCCAGGAAAGAAUGGGCCUCCUGGCAACUGUUGUGCGUCCUGGGCACUGAAGUGGCCACACCCUCAGGAUGCUCAGUGCUGCAGACGCUGACAGACUCGUGCCUGCUGGGCCUGGUCCCAUCUCUGGUGCUGGGUGGCUGUGGUCUGACAGGCUAGUGACUUGUCCCUGCUGAGGGUGCUAGGCCAGUGUCCCAAAUGUGAAGGUCUUGGGUGCCCCAGCAAUGCCUCAUCACUGCCCCAUCACUUCCUGUGGCUUGUUAUUAAAUAUGCUGGUAAUGUAAAGUUGGCAUAUACAGUCAGUGUUUCCAGCUCCUGGCUCUUGGAAUUAGUGGUAACCCUGGGCCAGUGGUAAAGAACCUGCCUGCCAGUGCAGGAGAUAUAAGAGAUGCAGGUUGGAUCUCUGGGUCGGAAAGAUCCCCUGGAGGAGGACAUGGCAACCCAUUCCAGUGUUCUUGCCUGGAGAAUCCCAUGGACAGAGAAGUCUGGUGGACUCCAUACAGUUGCAAAGUGUUGGACAUGACUGAAGUGACUUAGCACGCAGCAUGUUGGGUCUGCUCCAGUUUGGACUGUUUCUGGCAGAUCCUGAAAUAGCAACCCCAGUCACAGCCCCUCUCCCUUGGUCUCUUCUCAGCUAGCUUUUCCCUCUCCA
Molecule: long non-coding RNA, 2149 nt
Filed under: Bos mutus (wild yak)
Lineage: Eukaryota; Metazoa; Chordata; Mammalia; Artiodactyla; Bovidae
Description: lncRNA (ENSBMUG00000008562.1)
Source: RNAcentral